This 288-nucleotide ribosomal RNA is filed under the name uncultured Enterobacter sp. RNAcentral describes it as "partial 16S ribosomal RNA". It matches the Rfam family "Bacterial small subunit ribosomal RNA", at positions 1093 to 1382 of the family's 1533-position model. The record is from RNAcentral. Lineage: Bacteria; Pseudomonadati; Pseudomonadota; Gammaproteobacteria; Enterobacterales; Enterobacteriaceae.
CGAGCGCACCCUUAUCCUUUGUUGCCAGCGGUCCGGCCGGGAACUCAAAGGAGACUGCCAGUGAUAAACUGGAGGAAGGUGGGGAUGACGUCAAGUCAUCAUGGCCCUUACGAGUAGGGCUACACACGUGCUACAAUGGCGCAUACAAAGAGAAGCGACCUCGCGAGAGCAAGCGGACCUCAUAAAGUGCGUCGUAGUCCGGAUUGGAGUCUGCAACUCGACUCCAUGAAGUCGGAAUCGCUAGUAAUCGUGAAUCAGAAUGUCACGGUGAAUACGUUCCCGGGCCUU